RNAcentral lists this ribosomal RNA (497 nucleotides) under uncultured bacterium. Its description in RNAcentral is "partial 16S ribosomal RNA". It matches the Rfam family "Bacterial small subunit ribosomal RNA", at positions 28 to 507 of the family's 1533-position model. The record is from RNAcentral.
GAUGAACGCUGGCGGCGUGCCUAAUACAUGCAAGUCGAGCGAACGAACGAGAAGCUUGCUUCUCUGAUGUUAGCGGCGGACGGGUGAGUAACACGUGGAUAACCUACCUAUAAGACUUGGCUAACUUCGGGAAACCGGAGCUAAUACCGGAUAAUAUUUUGAACCGCAUGGUUCAAAAGUGAAAGACGGUCUUGCUUUCACUUAUAGAUGGAUCCGCGCUGCAUUAGCUAGUUGGUAAGGUAACGGCUUACCAAGGCAACGAUGCAUAGCCGACCUGAGAGGGUGAUCGGCCACACUGGAACUGAGACACGGUCCAGACUCCUACGGGAGGCAGCAGUAGGGAAUCUUCCGCAAUGGGCGAAAGCCUGACGGAGCAACGCCGCGGGAGUGAUGAAGGUCUUCGGAUCGUAAAACUCUGUUAUUAGGGAAGAACAUAUGUGUAAGUAACUGUGCACAUCUUGACGGUACCUAAUCAGAAAGCCACGGCUAACUACGUG